Molecule: ribosomal RNA, 427 nt
Filed under: uncultured bacterium
Lineage: Bacteria
Description: bacterial SSU rRNA
Rfam family: Bacterial small subunit ribosomal RNA
Source: RNAcentral
UGGGGAAUUUUGGACAAUGGACGCAAGUCUGAUCCAGCCAUGCCGCGUGCGGGAAGAAGGCCUUCGGGUUGUAAACUGCUUUUGUCAGGGAAGAAACGAGUUUCUCUAAUACAGAGACUUAAUGACGGUACCUGAAGAAUAAGCACCGGCUAACUACGUGCCAGCAGCCGCGGUAAUACGUAGGGUGCAAGCGUUAAUCGGAAUUACUGGGCGUAAAGCGUGCGCAGGCGGUUAUAUAAGACAGAUGUGAAAUCCCCGGGCUCAACCUGGGAACUGCAUUUGUGACUGUAUAGCUAGAGUACGGCAGAGGGGGAUGGAAUUCCGCGUGUAGCAGUGAAAUGCGUAGAUAUGCGGAGGAACACCGAUGGCGAAGGCAAUCCCCUGGGCCUGUACUGACGCUCAUGCACGAAAGCGUGGGGAGCAAACA